GUUUGGCAGCAAGUUAGACCGAGACUGGGGGCAAGAGAGAGCAUGGCGUCCACAAAACUGAGAUAUCUGGUGUGUUUAAUCCUCCUUCACACAUGGACAUCGGAAUGUCUUGGAGAAGAUUUUCAGAUGUCUGACUUUGAAACACCUGGACAACAGAAUGUUUUGGAGUUUCACCAGCAGGCAGUGAACAAACUGAGACCCGGGUCCAGUCUGAGUCCAAG
Molecule: long non-coding RNA, 221 nt
Organism: Hypanus sabinus (Atlantic stingray)
Lineage: Eukaryota; Metazoa; Chordata; Chondrichthyes; Myliobatiformes; Dasyatidae
Exons: 3
Source: RefSeq, a predicted model, not a curated record